CGGGUGAGUAACACGUGGAUAACCUACCUAUAAGACUGGGAUAACUUCGGGAAACCGGAGCUAAUACCGGAUAAUAUAUUGAACCGCAUGGUUCAAUAGUGAAAGACGGUUUUGCUGUCACUUAUAGAUUGAUCCGCGCCGCAUUAGCUAGUUGGUAAGGUAACGGCUUACCAAGGCAACGAUGCGUAGCCGACCUGAGAGGGUGAUCGGCCACACUGGAACUGAGACACGGUCCAG
RNAcentral lists this ribosomal RNA (237 nucleotides) under uncultured Staphylococcus sp. Its description in RNAcentral is "partial 16S ribosomal RNA". It matches the Rfam family "Bacterial small subunit ribosomal RNA", at positions 103 to 334 of the family's 1533-position model. Lineage: Bacteria; Bacillati; Bacillota; Bacilli; Caryophanales; Staphylococcaceae. The record is from RNAcentral.